GAUGAACGCUGGCGGCGUGCUUAACACAUGCAAGUCGAACGGGAUCCAAGGGGUCCUUGCACUUUUUGGUUAGAGUGGCGCACGUGUGAGUAACACGUGAGUAACCUCUCCUUUUCUUUGGUAUAAUCAUUCGACAGGGUCUUUAAUACCUUAUGUUCUGUCUGCCUCUCAUUGGGUGGUUGGGAAAGGCUUUGCCCGGAUUUGGGUGGGCUCCCGGUCUAUCUUCUUGUUGGUGUGGUGAUGGCUAAUCAAGGCUUUGCCGGGUAGCCGGUCUGAGAGGGUGGUCGGACAGAUUGGGAGUGAGAAACGGCCCAGAAUCCUGCGGGAGGCAGCAGUGGGGGAUAGUGGAAAAUGGGAGAAAGCAAGAUGGAGCGAGGCAGAGUGGGGGAUGAAGGCUUUAGGGUUGUAAACUUCUAUUGAUAUGAGCAAGGGAUGCCAGUGAGUGUGUGAAGGGAAGGGGUUGAUAAGCGCCGGCUAACUACGUG
This 485-nucleotide ribosomal RNA is filed under the name uncultured bacterium. RNAcentral describes it as "partial 16S ribosomal RNA". It matches the Rfam family "Bacterial small subunit ribosomal RNA", at positions 28 to 507 of the family's 1533-position model. The record is from RNAcentral.